AUGGGGGCCAUCAUGUGCUGCUUACGCGGCCGCGGCCCCGGCGACGACGCGCCUGGCUGCUGCUGCCUGCCAUGGCCUUUCCUGAACAACGAUCGCAACAACGACAACAACAACACCAAUCACAACUCGGGCCCUCCUGCUCGUCAAAGAGCGAAUACACGGGUUGCGCCUGUUCAGGGAAGGGUUCCUCCUGCGGGUUCACGGCAGGAUGAUUCAAUGAACACCUUCCGCUGCCCUCCUAGGCCUUUGCCUUAUGAUGAUCCUCAAUUCAGACAUCAAACGGAGCGCCACCCGCUGGUGGCAGGACGUGACAAGGCUUCAACACAAUCCCAGAAAUCUAAUCUACUUGAAGAAAGCAAUGAUGCUGAUACCAGAUCAACUUGUGCCGAUGAGAAGGCUGAUGGAUCGUCCCUGAAAGCUGAGUCGGGAGGUAAAAAACUCGGGGGAGCUAAGGUCUGUGUUCCUUCUGAUUGUGAGGAUGACUGUCCAAUAUGCCUAGAAGAGUAUGAUUACGAGAAUCCAAAGGUAGUGCUUCAGUGCAACCAUAAUUUCCAUCUUAGUUGCAUUUACGAGUGGAUGGAAAGAAGUCAAUCUUGUGCUGUCUGUGCCAAGGUAAUGUUGUUUAAAGAGGACCAAUAA
Molecule: ribosomal RNA, 639 nt
Filed under: Triticum aestivum (bread wheat)
Lineage: Eukaryota; Viridiplantae; Streptophyta; Magnoliopsida; Poales; Poaceae
Description: partial small subunit ribosomal RNA
Source: RNAcentral